This 628-nucleotide ribosomal RNA is filed under the name Lacticaseibacillus rhamnosus. RNAcentral describes it as "bacterial SSU rRNA". It matches the Rfam family "Bacterial small subunit ribosomal RNA", at positions 379 to 998 of the family's 1533-position model. The record is from RNAcentral. Lineage: Bacteria; Bacillati; Bacillota; Bacilli; Lactobacillales; Lactobacillaceae.
AAGUCUGAUGGAGCAACGCCGCGUGAGUGAAGAAGGCUUUCGGGUCGUAAAACUCUGUUGUUGGAGAAGAAUGGUCGGCAGAGUAACUGUUGUCGGCGUGACGGUAUCCAACCAGAAAGCCACGGCUAACUACGUGCCAGCAGCCGCGGUAAUACGUAGGUGGCAAGCGUUAUCCGGAUUUAUUGGGCGUAAAGCGAGCGCAGGCGGUUUUUUAAGUCUGAUGUGAAAGCCCUCGGCUUAACCGAGGAAGUGCAUCGGAAACUGGGAAACUUGAGUGCAGAAGAGGACAGUGGAACUCCAUGUGUAGCGGUGAAAUGCGUAGAUAUAUGGAAGAACACCAGUGGCGAAGGCGGCUGUCUGGUCUGUAACUGACGCUGAGGCUCGAAAGCAUGGGUAGCGAACAGGAUUAGAUACCCUGGUAGUCCAUGCCGUAAACGAUGAAUGCUAGGUGUUGGAGGGUUUCCGCCCUUCAGUGCCGCAGCUAACGCAUUAAGCAUUCCGCCUGGGGAGUACGACCGCAAGGUUGAAACUCAAAGGAAUUGACGGGGGCCCGCACAAGCGGUGGAGCAUGUGGUUUAAUUCGAAGCAACGCGAAGAACCUUACCAGGUCUUGACAUCUUUUGAUCAC